Molecule: long non-coding RNA, 283 nt
Filed under: Phascolarctos cinereus (koala)
Lineage: Eukaryota; Metazoa; Chordata; Mammalia; Diprotodontia; Phascolarctidae
Description: lncRNA (ENSPCIG00000008819.2)
Source: RNAcentral
AUCUCACCAGGUCAUAAUGGUAGGAAAGCAUCAUGGUCGUGAUUUUUCUUUUUCUCUCUCUAAGGAAUUAUCAGGGACCGAUUCCCCUCACUUCAUUCUGGAUGGUAUCAGCAAUUUUGAUAUUCAACAAGGACUAGCAGACAUGGACAAUAAAAACCCAUCCCAAAAUUCAUCUGGGCAUACAGUCAGAAAGGAAAUAAAGGAUCAUGAAUCGUGUGUGUUGAGAGAAGCAGUGUGCUGUAACAGAUGGAGUAGUCCACUAGGAAGAGCACUGGAUUUGUAG